This 285-nucleotide unclassified non-coding RNA is filed under the name uncultured fungus. RNAcentral describes it as "partial contains small subunit ribosomal RNA, internal transcribed spacer 1, and 5.8S ribosomal RNA". The stretch from base 1 to 73 matches the Rfam family "Eukaryotic small subunit ribosomal RNA", at positions 1759 to 1831 of the family's 1831-position model. Lineage: Eukaryota; Fungi. The record is from RNAcentral.
GCAAACUUGGUCAUUUAGAGGAAGUAAAAGUCGUAACAAGGUUUCCGUAGGUGAACCUGCGGAAGGAUCAUUAAAAUGUAAUAAGUACAUCUUGUGCUUCAUUAUAAACCCAUCCGUGUAUCUUACCUGUUGCUUCCGUGGGGGGUGGCCCCGGUCACUGCUGACCCCACGGGAGGUAUACAUGAAACCAUUGCAUUGCCAUGAUCUCAGUCUGAAAUGUUAACGAUAAAAGUUAAAACUUUCAACAACGGAUCUCUUGGUUCUCGCAUCGAUGAAGAACGCAGC